AUAUAAAUAACGACCACCAUAACUCAAAAUAAACAUAACGGUGUCAUGUGUAGGAAGAUGGCACUUAAAGAUUUGAUGUCACAAUGUGCUCCAAAUGAGGAAGUGUGGGCCCUGCCAAAUGCCACAGGAAAAUCUGAUUAAAUUGACAAGAAAACUGCUCCAUCAUUCCAUCGGAUAGAAGUCUGUAGUUCUCUGGGUAUGUUAAAACUUGCGGUGUAGAAGCUGUUGUCACAUUUAAGAGUUAGAUGAACUUUAUUAUCCAUUUCACUGCGCUCGUCUUCUUCGCCAGAACACACACAGGAUGUGUAACCAUAACAACAGUGGCAGUCCAGUAAAAGCAAAUAACCAGACGAACACACAAAUGGCCUGUCUUCUCCCUCGCUCUUCUUUCAACGUUUCAGCCUGCUUUAGGACGCUAUUGGUGCGCUUCACACAGCAAACAGUGGCAGCUGUUAUACAGCACAGUAAAGCCAGACCUGAAAUUUGCAAUAACAGUUUUCAAGGCGUGCUGUAAAGUCUCUUUCUGGAGCAAGGUUAAGAUUGUGGAAAUUGCUUUUCUGCUUCAAGUAGCAUUAAGGGAAUUGCACAACUCUCGCUCAGUGCAGACGUGCACAGCGUCAUGGAAACGCAUCUGGCUUUUAUUCUGCCUGUGCAAGUUGCUGUCUAAGCCUGUCAAGGAUCCGCCUGCCAAGAACAAUAUGAGAUCAGAUCCAAAGCAAGGAAAGUGGAAGGAACACAUGUGGCCGAAAAUAUGAGAGGCGAGCGAGAGAUUGCUUAAAUCACAGUCGCUCGCUGCCAAAUGCCUUGCAUCUGUGUAGGGAACUGACCUCCAAACAACCUUGGAAAGACCGUUUGCAAACAUCCAGUUCAUGCAGAGUUGCUCAAUCGGCCUUCCCCAGAGAGGGAGCAGUUUUUUUCAAAUUCACAACUGUUUUGGUUCGAUCACGCCACCCUGUUGCUGUCAGACCUGGAGACGACGACCCUCUGAGGUGCUUUGAUACAGCCUAGCGAAGGUGUUGAAAGUGUCACCCACUGGUGAAGAGGUUGACAUGAAAGUCACUUUAUAUCCCCUUUCCUGGUGACCACAGACAUACUGAUCAGCUGAUCCAACUGUGAGAGGAGACGGGGCUGGCUCUGUGUGGUGUAUGAAGACCUGCGGGUGCCGGCACUUUUAACAACUAAGGUGCUGAAGCACACACCCCUCUGCAUUGCCCCUCAAUGGGAGCUCACCGUGGGGGUUUUGGAGUGAAAGCAGACAGACGACCAUCUGAGAUGUCCCUGUCUGAGGAUGAAACUACACACUACUGUGCACCUCUCAGAUAACAAUGUGCAAAAAUGUACUUUGUACUAUACAGCACUGAAGUGUCCUUUAAAGGGACAACUUUGCACCUUAUUUAACCCUAAAAUUUAUUGAUUGCCUUAAAGGGAUACUCUACAAGCCCCAAAAUAAAAAUUUUGUCAUAAAUAACUUACCCCCAUGUCGUUCCAAAUCUGUAAAAGUGCCGUUCGUCUUUGGAACACAAUUUAAGAUAUUUUG
This is a long non-coding RNA of Cyprinus carpio (common carp), 1537 nucleotides long. RefSeq lists it as uncharacterized. The record is from RefSeq and is a predicted model, not a curated record. NCBI's taxonomy places the organism in Eukaryota, Metazoa, Chordata, Actinopteri, Cypriniformes, Cyprinidae. The transcript is spliced from 5 exons.